UGCCGUGGGCGCUGGAGAACUGAGGGGGGCUGCUCCUAGUACGAGAGGACCGGAGUGGACGCAUCACUGGUGUUCGGGUUGUCAUGCCAAUGGCACUGCCCGGUAGCUAAAUGCGGAAGAGAUAAGUGCUGAAAGCAUCUAAGCACGAAACUUGCCCCGAGAUGAGUUCUCCCUGACUCCCUGAGAGUCCUGAAGGAACGUUGAAGACGACGACGUUGAUAGGCCGGGUGUGUAAGCGCAGCGAUGCGUUGAGCUAACCGGUACUAAUGAACCGUGAGGCUUAACCUUACAACGCCGAAGCUGUU
Molecule: ribosomal RNA, 305 nt
Filed under: Escherichia coli
Lineage: Bacteria; Pseudomonadati; Pseudomonadota; Gammaproteobacteria; Enterobacterales; Enterobacteriaceae
Description: partial 23S ribosomal RNA
Rfam family: Bacterial large subunit ribosomal RNA
Source: RNAcentral